This 231-nucleotide long non-coding RNA is filed under the name Homo sapiens (human). RNAcentral's name for it is "non-protein coding lnc-EZH2-1:2". Lineage: Eukaryota; Metazoa; Chordata; Mammalia; Primates; Hominidae. The record is from RNAcentral.
CGCUUCUUUUCUCUUUCUCUGUGAAUUUCUUGAGAGCACAGACUACAUUCUGCUUAACUUUUUAUCCCCAGCUUUCAGCACAGUGCCUGGCUGGCUUUGGCGUCUCCAAGUACCUGACCUCAGCUCAACCUGUCUUGGGUUUUCUUCUCCUCCCUGACAUUGACAACCCAGCCCUCCUAGGCACAGAGAGAUGGAGCUGAGUGUGGUUUUCCUGAAAUAAAGCUUGCAUUA